GACGGACGCUGGCGGCGUGCUUAACACAUGCAAGUCGAACGGAAAGGCCCCAGCUUGCUGGGGUACUCGAGUGGCGAACGGGUGAGUAACACGUGGGUGAUCUGCCCUGCACUCUGGGAUAAGCCUGGGAAACUGGGUCUAAUACCGGAUAGGACCGUGCUUUAGUGUGUGCGGUGGAAAGUUUUUCGGUGCAGGAUGAGCCCGCGGCCUAUCAGCUUGUUGGUGGGGUAAUGGCCUACCAAGGCGGCGACGGGUAACCGGCCUGAGAGGGUGUACGGCCACAUUGGGACUGAGACACGGCCCAGACUCCUACGGGAGGCAGCAGUGGGGAAUAUUGCACAAUGGGCGCAAGCCUGAUGCAGCGACGCCGCGUGGGGGAUGACGGCCUUCGGGUUGUAAACCCCUUUCGGCAGGGACGAAGCUUUUGUGACGGUACCUGCAGAAGAAGCACCGGCUAACUACGUG
Molecule: ribosomal RNA, 465 nt
Filed under: uncultured bacterium
Lineage: Bacteria
Description: partial 16S ribosomal RNA
Rfam family: Bacterial small subunit ribosomal RNA
Source: RNAcentral